This is a long non-coding RNA of Vespa mandarinia (Asian giant hornet), 3184 nucleotides long. Lineage: Eukaryota; Metazoa; Arthropoda; Insecta; Hymenoptera; Vespidae. The record is from RefSeq and is a predicted model, not a curated record.
AGAGAGAGAGAGAGAGGGAGAGAGAGGAAAAGAAAGAGCGGAAAAGAGAGUAGGAAAAGAAGGCCGCGCGUGUUCCGCAGUAUUCCACCAUUCUACAUCGUUCCACUCCAUUCCUGUAGGUACGCCGCGCACCCCCGUAUUUCCUCCCCUUUGGGUUCGCACGUUAUUGAGCGCUCGCCCAGCCGAGGCGAGACCCAACCCAUCCACAUCCUCUGUUCACCCCUGUACAUUCUGACGAGAGUGAGAACGAGAGAGAAAGAGAAAGAGAGAGAGAGAGAAAGAGACAGAGAGAGAGAGAGAGAGAGAGAGAGAGAGAGAGAAAGGAAAAGCGAGUAGAAGGGAUAGAAGGGAAGGGUAAGUAGGGAGGAAGAGAGAUACAGGACGAAGAGGAUCGACCCUCGACGGCUUUCGUUAAACGGGAGAGGGGUGAGAAAUAGAGAUGGAUAGAGAAAAUGAGAGGAAGACAGAGGGAAAGAGUGAGUGAGCGAGUAAGCGAGCGAGUGAGUGAGUAAGUGAGUGAGAGAGAGAAAGAUAGACAGAGAGAGAGAGAGAGAGAGAGAGAGAGAAAGUCGAGAAAAUGGAAAAUUCAGGAGCUCUACGUCGACGGGGGUGGAAAACCGCCGAACAUCCCAUUCUUCGAUUCAGCCCGCCGGCGCCAUGCGAGAUUUGUUUUAAAAUCCUUUUACAAUUCCGUGGGCGAGCGUCGACCCGCGUGCUAUAACCACUUGGACCACCCCUCGCUCUUCUAGCUCUAUCUCUCUCUCUCUCUCUCUCGCGCGCGCUCUCAGAGAACGGGGUUUGGUCUAUGUAGAUUGCGUGCGAAGAGGCUCCCAGGUAAUCCUCGCCGCUUUAUUUUGCACUCGACACUGAGCGCAAAAAAGAAAAAGAAAUAGAGAGGAAGCGACGAUUCGUGAAUAACGAAGAAAAUUCGAAACAAAAACGGACUCGACUGUGUUCAACUCUCUCGUAGGAAGGAAUCUCCUUGUUCUUCGACAAGGGAGAGUCGCGUGCGAUGAUAAUCGGCGAGCGGUCUAGGCCAUGGAACAACCUCGUGGAGGUGCUCGCUAGUACACAGACGCAUGAAAGGACGAAGGAAGAGCGAACGAGGAACGGCCAAUCGGAGGACAACCUCCCCGGGGACGCGUCGUUGCCAUGGUUGCGUCCGAACCCUCUUAGGCCUUCUGCCGGAUCCCUCGCAGCUCGCCGAGAGACUCGUCCGCGUCGCGCGCGCUACCUAUACGUUACUUCCUCACCCUCUAUUUUCCUCUUUCUAUCUGACUUGCUUUCUCUUUUUCUCUCUUUCUCUCUUUCUCUACAUACGCCCAAAACUCUACCCUUAUCUGUGUUCUCACUCUCUACGCAUGUAUAUGUAUAUGUAUGAAAUUUGGCAUGGUGGUUCCACCAUUUGCUUGGCCGCCGUUCAGUACGCUCUAUUUCCUUCUUCUUCUUUUUUCUUCUUCUGUUCUUUUUCUUUCAUUUGUUUCCCUCUUUUUUUUGUUAUCUUUGAUUAUCCAUUUAUUUUGUCAACUUUCUUUAAUUCAUAUUUUCAUCUUCAUUUUUCUAAUAGUAUUCUUUCCUAAGUAAAUAUCUUUAGCCAUUCCGUCAUUCUUUACUAUCUCCAUUUUAUUUUAUUUUUUUGUCAUUUUGUUUUCUAGAUUUUAAUUCGAGAUAUCUAAAUAUUCGUACUUUUAAUACUACUAUCCAUCCAUUUUUAUGUACGCAUCCAUUGAUUUUUGUCUUUACAAUGCGCAACGUGGAACUUCCAUCCGUUCAGGGAAUCGACCAUCGGUCGAAACGGUCGACUCAUCCCUUUCUCUUUCUCACUUUCUCUCUCUCUCUCUCUCUCUUCUCUUUCUCUCCCUUUCUUGUUUCCUCUUCCUCCGCUUGUUCUUUCCCUCCCUGUCUGUCUCCCCUAGUCUUUCCCUCUUUCUCGCCCUCUCGCUCUCCUGGCACUCCCGGUUUCCUGCACUUAGCAAGAUCAAUACCAGCCAACGAGGCUUGAAAACAUGCGUCAACAUGGUCUUGCACUGUUUGUACGUCCACAUAACGCUCCGCGCACGGCUACUAGAGGCACGCCAACCACCACCACCACCACUUCCACCACUUCUACUACUACCAUCUCCACAACCACCACCACCGGCAACAUCACCACCCCUGGCCGGCCACUUCGCCACCCUCCAUCGUUGAAACAGGUGACGACGCACCAAGCGAAGAGAAGAGAAAAGGGAUUAGCCGUUGCUGCUGCUGAUACCGAUGUUGAUGUCGAUGCCGAUACCGAUACCGAUGCCGAUACCGAUGCCGAUGCCGAUACCGAUGCUCAUUCAAUUAGCUUCCUCUCUCAUCGGGAUAGGGAAAUCUCCAGAUGAAAGGAUGCCGCCAUCCAAUUAUUAUUACAUGAAACGGUUUCCAUAGCUCUUCGCUCCCUCUAUCCAGACACGGUCGUCUUCACCUUGCACAUCGCGGUCGAACCACUGGCUAACUCCUAAAGUUAUAACGAGCCACGGGGAACGAUUAAAGAAGAAGAAAAAAGAAAAUUCAUAUUCUCGAUUUUAUUAACCAAAACUAACUUGAACUGGGAAACUACGAGGAAAAACGGACUAUAAAACCUCUGUGAAGAAUAAAAUGAAGGAGGUGAAAAGGAGAGAAAAGAAGAAGAAGAAGAAGAAGAAGAAGAAGAAAAAGAAGACAAAAUAACACCAUCUUUCUUCUUCUCUCGAAGCAAUUAAAAUGACAGCCAAGACUUGGAGAGUUCUUUUCCACGUAAAGAAUCAAUGAAUAUUCAUACGGGUGCCCAGUUUAAUAAGCGAGUAUGUAGAUCUGUCCAACGUUCCACGAUCUUACCAUUCGCGUUUCCUUUAAUUUAUGCAACGAGAUACAUCAAAUUAUAAUUCUCUUUUUCUCUUUCUUUCCCUAUACCUUCUUUCUCUCUCUCUCUUUCCCUCUCUCUCUCUCCCUCUUUCUCUCACUCUCUCUCUUUCUCUUUCUCUUUCUCUUUUCUUUCUCUUUCUCUUUCUCUUUCUCUUUCUCUCUUUCUCUUACUCUUUCACUAACGGUAGCACGGUUAACGACGUGAGGUACCAACACCGACCAAAAAGCUUUAAUUAAAAAAAAAAAUUAAAUGUUCCAACUUUUAUUGCUUUUUUUGUUGGAAAAAAAAAUGGGGGACUCAUAUAUUCAGAUAGUU